RNAcentral lists this ribosomal RNA (495 nucleotides) under uncultured bacterium. RNAcentral describes it as "partial 16S ribosomal RNA". It matches the Rfam family "Bacterial small subunit ribosomal RNA", at positions 28 to 505 of the family's 1533-position model. The record is from RNAcentral.
GAUGAACGCUGGCGGCGUGCCUAAUACAUGCAAGUCGAGCGAACAGACGAGGAGCUUGCUCCUUUGAUGUUAGCGGCGGACGGGUGAGUAACACGUAGGUAACCUACCUAUAAGACUGGGAUAACUUCGGGAAACCGGAGCUAAUACCGGAUAAUAUUUCGAACCGCAUGGUUCGAUAGUGAAAGAUGGCUUUGCUAUCACUUAUAGAUGGACCUGCGCCGUAUUAGCUAGUUGGUAAGGUAACGGCUUACCAAGGCAACGAUACGUAGCCGACCUGAGAGGGGGACCGCCAACACGGGAACGGAGACGCGGUCCGAACUCCUAGGGGGGGCAGAGGGAGGGAAUCUGCCGAAAGGGGCGAAAGCCUAACGGAGCAACGCGGGGGGAGUAAUGAAGUUCUUCGGACCGAAAACCUCUUUUAUUGGGGAAAAAAAAACGUGAAAGUAACUGGGCAGGUCUUGACGGAACCAAAUCAGAAACCCCCGGCUAACUACG